RNAcentral lists this ribosomal RNA (401 nucleotides) under uncultured bacterium. Its description in RNAcentral is "partial 16S ribosomal RNA". It matches the Rfam family "Bacterial small subunit ribosomal RNA", at positions 360 to 776 of the family's 1533-position model. The record is from RNAcentral.
AAUAUUGCACAUUGGGUGCAAGCCUGAUGCAGCGACGCCGCGUGAGCGAAGAAGGUCUUCGGAUCGUAAAGCUCUGUCCACAGGGAAGAAAAAAAUGACGGUACCAGAGGAGGAAGCGCCGGCUAGCUACUUGCCAGCCUCCACGGUAAUAAGUAGGGGGCUAGCGUUGUACGGAUUUACUGGGCGUAAAGGGUCAUUAGGCGGUAACGUGUGUCAGAUGUUUAAUCUAUGGGCUCAACCCAUAUCAGCAUUUGAAACUACGUAACUUGAGUGCAGGAGAGGUAAGUGGAAGUCCUAGUUUAGCGGUGGAAUGCGUAGAUAUUAGGAGGAACACGAGUGGCGAAGGCGACUUACUGGACUGCAACUGACGCUGAGUCACGAAAGCGUGGGGAGCAAACAGG